CGGGAGGAGUAACGCGUGAGGAGCCUGCCUCAAAGAGGGGACGAACAGUUGGAGACGACUGCUAAUACCGCAUAAGCCCACGGGUCGGCAUCGACCUGAGGGAAAAGGAGCAAUCCGCUUUGAGAUGGCCUCGCGUCCGAUUAGCUAGUUGGUGAGGUAAUGGCCCACCAAGGCGACGAUCGGUAGCCGGACUGAGAGGUUGAACGGCCACAUUGGGACUGAGACACGGCCCAG
Molecule: ribosomal RNA, 234 nt
Filed under: uncultured bacterium
Lineage: Bacteria
Description: partial 16S ribosomal RNA
Rfam family: Bacterial small subunit ribosomal RNA
Source: RNAcentral